RNAcentral lists this ribosomal RNA (438 nucleotides) under uncultured bacterium. Its description in RNAcentral is "bacterial SSU rRNA". It matches the Rfam family "Bacterial small subunit ribosomal RNA", at positions 954 to 1392 of the family's 1533-position model. The record is from RNAcentral.
GCACAACGCGAAGAACCUUACCUACUCUUGACAUCCAGAGAACUUAGCAGAGAUGCUUUGGUGCCUUCGGGAACUCUGAGACAGGUGCUGCAUGGCUGUCGUCAGCUCGUGUUGUGAAAUGUUGGGUUAAGUCCCGCAACGAGCGCAACCCUUAUCCUUUGUUGCCAGCGGUUCGGCCGGGAACUCAAAGGAGACUGCCAGUGAUAAACUGGAGGAAGGUGGGGAUGACGUCAAGUCAUUAUGGCCCUUACGAGUAGGGCUACACACGUGCUACAAUGGCGUAUACAAAGAGAAGCGACCUCGCGAGAGCAAGCGGACCUCAUAAAGUACGUCGUAGUCCGGAUUGGAGUCUGCAACUCGACUCCAUGAAGUCGGAAUCGCUAGUAAUCGUGGAUCAGAAUGCCACGGUGAAUACGUUCCCGGGUCUUGUACACACCG